RNAcentral lists this ribosomal RNA (290 nucleotides) under uncultured bacterium. RNAcentral describes it as "partial 16S ribosomal RNA". It matches the Rfam family "Bacterial small subunit ribosomal RNA", at positions 773 to 1060 of the family's 1533-position model. The record is from RNAcentral.
GUGGAUUAGAUACCCUGGUAGUCCACGCCGUAAACGAUGGGCACUAGGUGCUUGGGGGAGCGACCCCCCGAGUGCCGGCGCUAACGCAUUAAGUGCCCCGCCUGGGGAGUACGACCGCAAGGUUGAAACUCAAAGGAAUUGACGGGGGCCCGCACAAGCGGUGGAGCAUGUGGUUUAAUUCGACGCAACGCGAAGAACCUUACCCAGACUUGACAUGUACGAGAAAGCCUCUGGAAACAGGGGCCCCUCUUCGGAGCUCGUGCACAGGUGCUGCACGGUUGUCGACAACU